GGUUCUUUCGGUAAAGUCACGUAGAAGGAACGUAAUAAAAUAACAAAAAUAAAACAUAAUAAAAAUAAUUCUCACGACGUUUCGGCCACAACGCAAGCAGCCGUCCUCAGGUGAAGACCAGGUCUGUCGGGGAGACAGCGUCUGAAUGAAACACCACCACGCUUGGAGCGUCUAUUUAAGCUGGGUUGGAAGGGGGGAAGGGCUGCUUGCGUUGUGGCCGAAACAUGGCGUUCUCUGGUGUGGCACUGGUGGCGAGACGAGGCCAUGAAGAAGCCUGCAGUACUUGGUGCCUUACAAAGGGUACCUAUUUGGUGUUUGAACAUAUUAAGAAGUGUUUUAUUGCCAGAAAGGGACAAUUGUUAUACUUUUCUUCAUUAUUUGAUACCGGCGAACAAGAAGAACGUCCCAUGGAUAGAAAUCGUUUCCCAAACGCGACGACCCGAAAUGGACUCGCCGCGUAAUUGGUCGAGCAAGGGUCACGUGGGGUCGUCACUUUUCGAGUUGCCAUGACGACAGAGGACCCGGCCCACGUGACCUUCACCGGGCCUCCUCAUUGGACAGAGCCAGCGCCCCCCCUCCCCCCGCGUGGGGUUGCCACGGUAACGCGCAAGGCCGAUGGUGGAAUGCGUUCAAUUGCUUAAAGUUCGUCCUAAUUACGGCGUAGAAAUCAACAUUUAAGAGACGCGUCCUCACCGUCGCCAAUAGCCAAGCUAUUAUCUCCUCCACCGCCCUACCGGGGGGAGAGGGCAGGUAUCCCGCAAGCUCUGCGGGCAAUGGUUGAUCGCCUAGACUUGUUGUUGUUGUCGCUGCUUUGAGCUUCACCUCGCCAUGACUGCAAUCGCCAGGAGCGACCCACUCAGAGUGCCUCACACCUACGACGCUCAUUGUCAAGUGGAGGUGUGCAUUCAGGAGCCGUGCUCUGUCAAGUAUCUGGACGAAAAUGAAGUGUCCCAACGUAUUCUUGCACUUUGCUUCAACCUUGACCUCCUCAUCCGCACCGAGCUGCAACAACAGCAAUCGUCAUUGGAAACCAGCCCUAUAGAGUCAGAUGCUUUUCAAGCGGAGGCUGCGGAUGUUUUAGAAAAAAUAACAAGGACACUACAGCAUCUGCCUCCACCGGUUCCUGAGCUUGAGAGUGACAUUUUGGCACUUGUAAUUUCAGGAUUAUCUGGACAGCCGUGGUCUCUCGCUCUUCUUCCCCCGAGUGGAGGUUUACAUCAUCCACGGCCGGCCUGUAGACAUGCUGGAGCAGCCUCCACUUGACGAUUACUUUGAAAACGUGUGCAGACUAAAUCAGAUACUGGUUCUUAGUCAGCAGUUGCAAGGCGAUGUAUAUCAACUCAAUAGGCAUAAAUAUAUCGCACAUCGCAUCGCCGUUCUCUAUCGAGCGAUGCACCAGAUGGGAGACGUCGCCCUCCUGGCUGCCUACAGGAGAGACGUGGAAGCUCGCUUCCCCAGAAUUAAAGCCUGCCUCAGUGUGGAGGAGCCCGGGGAAGGCCCACCACCGACGCUCCCAGACCACCACGCCAAAUGGCUGUUACAGCUGACAAGUGGGCUGGUGAAGAGUCUCCUGUCCCUGCCCUACGAGCUCUCUGAGGGGCUCUCUCCAGCAAUGGCUCUGCUCUCUCACACCUCCUGAUGGUUCAACAUUGGUACUGUGGCUGCUGCAGUGGUGGCUGCCCGUUGUGCAAUGCGAGACACCGGGUCUUACGCUUGUGAGAGGUAGAAGCAACACAUGAUAAUGCCACUGCCCUCUGAUGGACAUUCACACUGCAAGUAGACAAAUAUGCAUGAGAUGAACAAGACAAGCCACACAAUUUAUUUGUAAAAUGGCUAUGAAUUGAUAAUUGCUUGUCUUCAAAUGGGGAAAAAGCCUCACCACUCAUACUUGCAAACAUAAUGUUGGCAUUGAUAUUCAUAACACUGGUCAACAAAAAAAAAUUCUGGCCUGGACUUUUGCAGCUGUUUUAAACUAAUUUCAGGGUGCUGAUUCCAAAUCUGAUCUCAGAUUUGCUCUAUCACAUCAUUUUUAUGCUAUCGGCAUACCCCAUUUUCAUUGAUUUUACCCGAAAUUAACUCUGUCACUUAUGAUUGAAAGUUGUUGUGAGUCAGUGACUGCUUUAGUGUUAAAAAAUGGUGCUGUAUUUUUAGGAUAGUGUGUUUAUAAUAUAAUUUUAUGUAGAUAUCCACAUUUAUUUAAUAUUUUUCUUCUGCAGUUUUUAUUGAAAAUGCAAUAUUUGAUAUCUCAAAAAUCUGAUGUGAUAGACAAAAACUGAUGCCAGAUUUGGAAUCAGCACCCCAAAAUUACAUUAAAAGCGUUGGGAAUACCUUAUGCCAGAAAAAGUGUGUUGACCAGUGUAUAAUUUGUCAUUGUGGUCCUUUCACCACUUAGCGGGAUUUAUUUAAAAUCAAUGUGCGUGAAAGUGCUACCUCUAGGCCAUGUAAUACAGAUUAGUGAGAGGAGAUAUGUAUGAGCGUAGCCAGCAACUCCGUGCAGUUGUGCAGUCACUGCACGUUGCUGUGUUAUUGUAAGUAUAACAUUUCCGAAUUAUAAUGCAGUACAAUUAAAGCAAGUUUUAGAUUGUGAGUUCAACUAUUUUUGCUAACGUUCCCUGACCGGUGUGUUGUGUGUGAAGGACUGGGUGUUUCUGUGUGAGUUUAGUUUCUUGUACAGUGAGUAGAGUGCAGAUCUGGCAGAUUGAGAGAGUGGGGAUUUGCCACUUGAAGAGGGUGCAGGUUAGACCUCUUAAAAGGGAACUGCACUGCAUUAGUGUUGACAAAACCUCGACAAAAAAAACGAGGGGCAAUUGUGCAUUACUUUAGGAUAGUUAGAGAUAUGCUUUGAAUUCAUAAAAAAUAAUAUUUUACAAAUCCUGUCAACAAGGUAAUAAUGGUUUGUCAUUUAGUAUAGUUUAGUAUAUACGAAUACACGAUUUUGUCGUCAAAAUUUGUGUAUUUUUGUUCUUAUAAAGGCCUACCUACACGCACUGCAAGGAAUGCAAUCCUGUCACCAGUAGUAAUUUGCACCAGAAUUUAAGUGGAUAGGAUCCAUCAUCAGACCCCAGUACGUGCAUGUGCACAGUAUCUGCAGUGUAAAAUUGUUCCACUAGAGAGCAGCGUGGUGUUACAUUGCUGUUGCUCUCACACUCGUAUGUGGCCAUUGGUUUCCAAGCGGUGAAUUCACGCGCUCUGGGUGCUGGAAAUUUCACCCCACAUUUGAGAAGAUAUAAAUUUGAGAUAAUGCAAUGUUGAGGUGCAAGCUCCAUACACUGUCAGGCUUAAAGAGACCCCCUUUUGUCCUUUGAGGGAUGUGUGUAAAACUCUGUUCAUGGAAAAUAAUGUUCCGUGCAAUUUUGAAAAAAUAACAUUCUCCGACACUGAUUUGUUAGCACUGAUGGGGCUUUGUGUCUUACAUUGAUUGCACGGUAUGACGUUUGUCAUUUCCUUACAGGAGUGUUCUUCGGCUAUGUUUUUUUGUGGGCCACUUAAUCAAAUACGCGUGUGCUGGCAAUGUCUCGCACAGGCAUGACAUCGUACAGUAUCUUGAUGGACUGACAUCCGUAUGUGUGACUUCUAAUCUGUGUCUUAUCGCCAGGACUCGGCUCACUCGUUUAUCUCGCUUUCAUUUCAUCUUCAUUUCUUGUCUACAACUCUAUUGUCUCUUAUCUCUCGUUUAUCUCCUUCAUCUAACUCAUCUGUAUUUCAUCUCACUCGCUAAUCUGCAUGACAUUGCCACGCGGUAGCAUGUUUCUCGCCACUUCUUGCAGAAGUUCGCGGCUCGGUUCCAGUGGCUGCCCUGAUAAACACAUUCCUGCGGAGGGAGCUGGUAGGAACGUUGGGUUGCUCGGUCACUGGCCAGGGUCAACGGCGGCGUGGUGUAUUCCGCAAAUAUGCCCGACUGUGAGGGCGGGCACAAGCCGGCGUGAGUAGGUUAAACGUUGAGUUUUAUAAGGGCACCACGGGGUGACCAGCCCCUCCCCACCCAGCCCCACCCCUCCCACCCCCCACCCAGCCCCACCCCCACCCAGCCCCUCCCCACCCACCCUCCCCACCCAGCCCCUUCCCACCCUCCCCUCCCCACCCAGCCUUCUCCCCACCCUCCCCACCCAGCCCCACCCUCCCCACCCAGCCCCUCCCCACCCUCCCCACCCAGCCCCUCCCUCUCCACCCAGCCCCACCCCUCCCAUUUUUGGAUGCAGGACGGACAGAAUAAUCCCCUGUGGGCUGGUGUAACCAGGAGGUUCCUACCAGUGUAACUGUGGGUGUCAUUACCGUAAUAUCGCUUUACUCCGUCAGCUUCGCAGUGGACGUUAGAGAGAUCCCCCGACGUCAUGCGCAAGAGUCGGGUCAUUAUGUCAAUAACCUGCAGAUCGUUCAAUUGGGAUUGUACGUAACAAUCGUUGCACUCUUCUGGAACACUGUUCCAGGUUACUCUUGCAAUUGAGACUAUCCUGAUUACUCUCUUCGAGUCCUCACCUGGUGAACAAAAUUAACUUGAAAUGUAACUUUGUCUUGGUGAGCGAAAUCUCUCGCUGGGCCAGCCCACAGGCCACCAUUUCGAGAAUCUUGCCUUAUGCAACAUUCACAAGUAUUUUAUCAUCAUAUCAAAAUGUCUUAAACUGCACUUGUAAAUAUGCAAACUGUAUACUGUAAUGUACGUAUAUUCCUAAAUGUUGAUAAUCUUAAUGUAAACAUUGUUGUAAACAUUCAUGUGUAUAUUUAAUAAAAUGUUUUUUUUUGUAUUAUUGCCCAUCUGUUAGUGGCGCACAAUCACGCUCAUGAAGUUCAAUUAUAAACUAAAAUUACCCUAAAGUUGUGUUGCUCUUAGGGACUUGCCCAAUAGUAAACUGGUCAUUUGAUGGUAGGUUUGCCCAAAACGUGCAGGCAGCCCAGAGUACCAAGGAUAACAUGUAUUUGCAAAUGUCAAAAUGCAUUUUGCCCUGACAGCAGGCCCGUUGGCUUCCAUCCUGCUAAUUCAACAUUUCUGAGAACCAACCCACUUGGGAAAGUGUUUAAGAAUACAUUCAUAUGCAUGAGAUUUCUUCCUUGUUUUAUUUGAAAGGUAAUAUUGAUUGAGCAGCCUUCAAACAGCGUUCGGAAAAUGCGCGGCAGCUCCUGCGUAAUUUCUAAUUUUAUGCUAUCACUGUUGUGGGCCAAGUGCAGGUCUCAUCCCAAGGCAAUGCAUUGACUGUGAAAAAAUUAUACAAUAACUUAAAGUUACGGAAUUAUUUAAUUCUUACACCUCGAGCAGUCAGCAUCUGCCCAUAGGUUUACAAUGUCUCCCCCAAUGUUCUUAAAAAACGAUUAUAUGAAUGUUCCAGAUCAUUCCAACAGUUUUUCUUAUUAAUGCUCCUUUGACCUGACCAACGUAACCAUUUAAUUAAAACAAAAUGAUUCACGCCAUUAAAUGUCUGAAAAACAAUAUGCACGAAAAUAUGAUAAUAUGUAACAAAAAAAAUUAUUGGAAAUAUAAAUGUGACCUUUGCAUGUGGAGCUACUGGGAAUAUAUUAGAUUUUUAAUACCAUUUGACGACUCCCAAAUUGCAGUCCUCAUGCCCCCUUAUCACCAACCACGCACGAGCCAAGAACCUCUUCGUUUGCUCCCUCCCACCACUGCCAAUCUCACUGCUCGCACUCACCAAUCUCAUCACUUCAUCUCGCCACUCGCUCGCCAAUCUUAAUUACCCUCUCCGCACUCACAAAUCUCACCCCAUGCAUCUUCUCACCACUCGCCAAUCUCGUCAAUACCCUGUCAUCACUCGCUAAUCUCGUCACACCCUCUCCCAUCACUUACUCUGACCCUCUCACCACUCAUUCGCCAACCUAAUAACUCACCACUUACAAAUAUCACCGUGCACCAAUCUUGUCCAUACCCUGCCACAGUUCACGACUAAUCACACCCUCUCUGCACUCAUCAAUCUAGUUGCUCGCUCUCAACUCGCCCAUCUGCACCACUCAUCUCUGCGCACUUGCCAAGCUCACAACUUGCGUGGAGGCAGGAAAUCGUGGAGUGGCUCCUUCACAACCUCAGCUCCGGUUCGGGACUCUGGAGUGUACCGAGUGACCCCAGCUGAGCGAGUGACCCCAGCUCCACUCCAGUUGUAAAAACUCCACUUGCACCUCCAGGGCAUCGGAGUCAGAGCUGGAAUCUGUCUGCCCAUCCCAAAUGUGAACCAAUUCGAUAUAAACAACGUACACGAAUUGGAAAAAACCCGUCGAUUCUGACACGCAAAAUGUGAUGCAUUUAUCGUGAACGAGAAGAAUCUGUGUUG
Molecule: RNA transcript, 6272 nt
Organism: Lethenteron reissneri (Far Eastern brook lamprey)
Lineage: Eukaryota; Metazoa; Chordata; Hyperoartia; Petromyzontiformes; Petromyzontidae
Source: RefSeq, a predicted model, not a curated record